RNAcentral lists this transfer RNA (73 nucleotides) under Stegodyphus mimosarum. It matches the Rfam family "tRNA". Rfam says of the family: Transfer RNA (tRNA) molecules are approximately 80 nucleotides in length. Their secondary structure includes four short double-helical elements and three loops (D, anti-codon, and T loops). Further hydrogen bonds mediate the characteristic L-shaped molecular structure. tRNAs have two regions of fundamental functional importance: the anti-codon, which is responsible for specific mRNA codon recognition, and the 3' end, to which the tRNAs corresponding amino acid is attached (by aminoacyl-tRNA synthetases). tRNAs cope with the degeneracy of the genetic code in two manners: having more than one tRNA (with a specific anti-codon) for a particular amino acid; and 'wobble' base-pairing, i.e. permitting non-standard base-pairing at the 3rd anti-codon position. Lineage: Eukaryota; Metazoa; Arthropoda; Arachnida; Araneae; Eresidae. The record is from Rfam by way of RNAcentral.
GCUUUCGUUGCGUAAUGGUCAGCACACUGAGCCGGUAUUUCAGAGGUCCGCGGUUCGAUCCCCGGCGAAGGCA